CCCCUUCUCGUGCCGCCGCCGCCGCCGCCCUCCGCUCCGUCGGCCGACCUCCGUCCCCGGCGCCGGCGGAGACGACGGGGAGCAGCCCCCUCGCCGUGCCUGCGCGGGCACGAGCCACCACCCGAUCCGCUCGCGCCGUACCUACUGGAUAAAGGCAAGAGUUCUGUUGGUGCAUUGAGAAGUGACACUGCAAUUUUCUUAGAUAACAGAUGAGGCGAGCUCGGAGGCGUACGUGGGUGGGAUGACUGAUGAGGGAUGAUAGUGACAUUGAUGAACUUUCUACGGGCGUGUUGGAGACCUUCAUCCAACCGGCAUGCCCGGACAGGCUCAGAUGCUACCGGUAGGCAGGACGGACUUCUAUGGUACAAGGACACUGGGGAGCAUGUAAAUGGGGACUUCUCCAUGGCUGUUGUCCAGGCCAAUAACCUACUUGAGGACCAGUGUCAGAUUGAGUCGGGCCCGUUGAGCUUUCUCGACUCUGGCCCAUACGGCACUUUCGUCGGGGUUUACGAUGGGCACGGUGGACCAGAGACAGCUUGCUACAUCAACGAUAACCUCUUCAACCAUCUUAAAAGGUUCGCUUCGGAACAAAAUUCAAUGUCUGCUGAUGUACUGAAGAAAGCAUAUGAAGCUACAGAAGAUGGAUUCUUCUCUAUCGUCACCAAGCAAUGGCCUGUCAAGCCUCAAAUAGCGGCUGUUGGCUCAUGCUGUCUGGUUGGUGUUAUCUGUGGUGGCAUGCUUUAUGUUGCCAAUGUUGGGGAUUCUCGUGCUGUUCUAGGAAAACAUGUUAAAGCUACUGGAGAAGUAUUGGCGGUCCAACUAUCCGCAGAGCAUAAUGUCAGCAUUGAGCCAGUGAGAAAAGAAUUGCAGUCAAUGCACCCCGAAGAUAGGCAUGUUGUUGUUCUCAAGCACAAUGUUUGGCGUGUAAAAGGCCUAAUUCAGGUCUGCAGAUCGAUCGGUGAUGCCUAUCUGAAAAAACAAGAGUUCAACCGGGAACCUCUGUAUGCAAAAUUCCGUCUUCGUGAACCUUUUAACAGGCCCAUACUAAGUUCAGAACCAUCCAUUUGUGUGCAACCAAUACAGCCACAGGAUGAGUUUAUCAUAUUUGCAUCUGAUGGACUUUGGGAGCACUUAACCAACCAGGAGGCUGUUGACAUUGUUCAAAGUAGCCCUCGUAGUGGGAGCGCUAGGAGGCUCAUAAAAUCAGCCUUGCUAGAAGCAGCCAAGAAAAGAGAGAUGAGGUAUUCCGAUCUCAAGAAGAUUGACCGAGGUGUUCGUCGCCACUUCCACGACGACAUAACCGUCAUCAUACUCUACCUCGACUCGAGCCUCGUAAGCAGGGCGAGCACCCACAGGGGCCCUGCUGUUUCCCUAAGAGGCGCCGGCGUGAGCCUGCGCAGCAGCACGCUCGCACCUUAUGGGUCGCAGAUGUAACAGGUGCCAGCGGUGUCGGCCAAGAUCAUCAUCCCCUUGAUUAAUGGUUAAGAAAGAAUGGAGAGGCACAGACAGAGGGCCUCUUCUUCUCCAGGGCUUCUAUCAAUCUCCGUCAUGAAAAGACUUUGAUCAUAGUAAUGUAUGUACUUCGUUUCGAGAUUGACCGAGGAAGAAUAGGUAGGUGUCGUUUGUUGUGCUGCUGCUGAAAAGGCAGAUGUCUCUUGUUGUUGUUCGCCCCCUGCAGGAAUUUUAAUUUUAACACCGGUAGUGCAUAUAAUGAUAUAUGGUAUAAUAAUGGGCCCAGGAGGAGUAACUUAUUGACUGAUGUCGUGGACUCCAUACAUAUGUAUGUAUGCAUGUAUGUGUGCUAUUCUGACUCUGUUAUUUAUUUAUUUAUUGACCAA
This 1838-nucleotide ribosomal RNA is filed under the name Triticum aestivum (bread wheat). RNAcentral's name for it is "partial small subunit ribosomal RNA". The record is from RNAcentral. Lineage: Eukaryota; Viridiplantae; Streptophyta; Magnoliopsida; Poales; Poaceae.